AUGGCGAGACGUCGGACAAGAGCCGCAACCUCAGGGGUUGAGCUCCAUGGCAAGGAGACGCUGGAGAUCGUCUGCACCAGCGAACCAGACAAGGCCGACAAGAUGAUGAGCAGGCUCAGGAUGAAGGGCGGCGGCUUGUAUCCGAGCUUCAUCGGAGUUGAUGUGGAGUACACCAGCAAAGAUGAACCUCCACAAAUGGCAGCAGUCCUGCAGUUGUGCGUCGACGAACUCUGCUUGGUGUACGACAUCGCAGCGGCCACAAAAUGGCCCAAGCGCCUCAAACAGUUCCUGCAGGAGGAGAAAUUGUACACAUUUGUCGGUUUCAGCAUUGGAGGUGACAAGCGGAUGCUGAACAAGUCUGGUUUGGAGAUCAACCCCAACAACUUCAUCGACAUGCAGCGCAAGUGGAAAGAUCCAACCACCAACAAAUACUAUGACUCCUUGGCCGAUGUUGCAGGCGGCGUCAUCCACCCAUUCUACAAAGGCAUGAAGAAGAAGAUGGAGAAGAAGGAAGACCACAAACUGUGGGGGAACAGCCCGCUGCCAGACAACCUCAUUGAGUACGCAUGA
This 570-nucleotide ribosomal RNA is filed under the name Triticum aestivum (bread wheat). Its description in RNAcentral is "partial small subunit ribosomal RNA". Lineage: Eukaryota; Viridiplantae; Streptophyta; Magnoliopsida; Poales; Poaceae. The record is from RNAcentral.